UCAAAGGCUUUGCAUCACUCCUGGUUACCCCGUCACCGGCAACACCUGGGGUUUGAUUCGCACCAGGGGGUGGAUGGUUUGCGGGGAAACUACCCAGGCCUGACUCCAGCAGAGCCUUCCAGGAAAGUGAGGUGAAGGGCGGGGAAGGGGCAGCCCCUGCGCCCGCUUUCCUGGGCCCCGAGGGCCACCCGGGGCGCUCUCAGGCCCCAAGGAGCUACGGCGGCGGGUCGCGGAGCUCGGGCGACCCCUGGCGGUCGCGCUCGAUGGCACUUUCCUCUCAUCAUGGUGCGCAGCGCCCUCUGCCGGCCGACGGCUGUACUUUCUUCCCCUGUCUUGGUUCGGGAUGAGGACUUGAUGUUAAUAUCCCUGUUUUACAGUUGAGAAAACUGAGACACAGAGGAGUAAUCUGUCUACGGUGAAAUUGGAAGAGGACACGGAGACCCGAGCGUGUGGAAGAGCGUUGUCCGCGGCCACCCAGCAAUGGACGUCCUUAGCACUUACCGAUCACCUACAAUUUGCUGGGUGCUGGGAACACGAAGAGAAAAAAAGCAGCCUCUGCCACUGGCAAACAUGUUGCUUCAGCGAGGUUUGGCUCGAGAGCAUGGCAGGUUGGAGACCAGAAAGUUGUUUCAUUUAUGUGGUUUAAUUUCUGAGCGCACGAGCCCUUCUCUAACCCUGAGCCUGUCUCGUUUUUCUUCUCCUCAAGGCUCCCCGGGGAGCUUUCUGCAGCCAGCGCCUACAUUUUCCCAGCGCGGCUGCCUUGUGAAAGCAAGCGCGCUCCAGGCGGAGGCCUGCCCGCAGCCGCCACCCGCCCUGUUGGGCACCCAGCUCCUUUCUCAGCCAAACCUGUUGCUUCUAAGCCAAGGAGCCCAGGGUGAGCUGAGGCUUCAUCACGACCUUGUCCUAGUGGAGACCCCCGCCUGGAAACUGGCUGCGAGCAGGGGCUGGGGAAACCCGGGCAGGGGAGGGGCUGGCCCAGAGAGGGCCCAGAGAGCUCUGGAACCCAGCACCCUCUCGGGGUUGCUAUGGUGACCCGCGCUCCGGGCGGACCUCAUCUCCUAUUUCCCCUGCGUCUG
Molecule: long non-coding RNA, 1076 nt
Organism: Loxodonta africana (African savanna elephant)
Lineage: Eukaryota; Metazoa; Chordata; Mammalia; Proboscidea; Elephantidae
Exons: 3
Source: RefSeq, a predicted model, not a curated record